AGUUACUUGGCUGAUAGGAAAGCCCGUGUUUUGAAAGCUCGCCAUAGAGGUUCGAGUCCUCUAGUAACUU
Molecule: transfer RNA, 70 nt
Filed under: Aristeus virilis
Lineage: Eukaryota; Metazoa; Arthropoda; Malacostraca; Decapoda; Aristeidae
Description: tRNA-Ser
Rfam family: tRNA
About the family: Transfer RNA (tRNA) molecules are approximately 80 nucleotides in length. Their secondary structure includes four short double-helical elements and three loops (D, anti-codon, and T loops).
Source: RNAcentral